RNAcentral lists this ribosomal RNA (1765 nucleotides) under Chelonoidis abingdonii (Abingdon island giant tortoise). RNAcentral's name for it is "SSU rRNA". It matches the Rfam family "Eukaryotic small subunit ribosomal RNA". Lineage: Eukaryota; Metazoa; Chordata; Testudines; Testudinidae. The record is from RNAcentral.
CCUGGUUGAUCCUGCCUGCAGCAUAUGCUUGUCUCAAAGAUUAAGGCAGGCAUGUCUAAGUACACAUGGUUGAUACAGUGAAACCAUGACUGGCUGAUUAAAUCAGUUAUGAUUCCUUUUGGUCACUUCAACCACUACUGGGAUAACUGUGGUAAUUCUAGAACUAAUACAUGCCGACGAGUGAUGACCUCUGGGAAUCCGUGAAUUUAUCAGACCAAAACCAACCUGGGCUCGCCCGUCCACUUUCGUGUCUCUAGAUAACCUCAGGCCAAUCAUGUUUCCUCUUGGCGAUGACAAUGCAUUUAAAUGUUUGCCCUAACAACUUUUGAUGGUACUUUCUGUACUUACCAUGGUGACCACGGGUCACGGGGAAUUAGGGUUUGAUUCCAGAGAUGGAGGGCGAGAAAUGGCUACCGUAUCGAAGGAAUGCAGCAGGCGUGCAAAUUACCCUCUCCCAACCCGGGGAGGUAGUUACGAGAGAUAACAAUACAGGACUCUGUGGAGGCCCUGUAAUUGGAAUGAGUACACUUUAAAGCCUUUAACGAGGAUCCAUUGGAGGGCAAGUCUGAUGCCAGCAGAUAGGGUAAGCCCAGCUCCAAUAGCAUAUAUUAAAGUUGCUGCAGUUAAAAAGCUCAUAGUUGGAUCUUGGAAUCUAGAUGUCAAUCUGCUGUGAGGUAAGUUACUACCCCCUCCCAGCCCCUGCCUCUCAGCACUCCCUUGAUGCUCUUAACUGAGUGUCCUGGGGGUCCGAAGCAUUUAUUUCGAAAACAGAGUGUUCAAAGCAGGCUGGUCACUGGAAUACUCCAGCUAGGAAUAAUGGAAUAGGACUCUGGUUCUAUUUUGUUGGUUUUCGGAACUGGGGCCAUGAUUAAGAGGGACGGCCGGGGGCAUUCGUAUUGUGCCCCUAGAGGUGAAAUUCUUGGACUGGCAAAAGCUAAACCAAAGCAAAAACAUUGCCAAAAAUGUUUUCAUUAAUCAAGAAUGAAAUUCAGAGGUUCCAAGAUGAUCAGAUACUGUCAUAGUUCAGACCAUAAACGAUGCCGACUAGUGAUCUGGCAGCGUUAUUCCAUGACUUGCCAGGUAACUUAAGGGAAACCAAAGUCUUUGAGUUCGAAGUGGAAUAUGACUGCAAAGCUGAAACUUAAAGGAACUGAUGGAAGGGCACCACCAAGAGUGGAAACUGCAGGUUAAUUUGACUCAACACAGGCAACCUCACCUGAUCUGGACACGGAAAGGAUUGAUACAGAUUGAUAGCUCUUUCUUGAAUUUGUGGAUGGUGGUGCAUGACUGUUCAUAGUAGGUGGAGUGAUAUGUCUGCUUAAUUCUGACAAUGAACAAGACUCUGGCAUGCUAAAUAGCUGGGCAACCCCAUAGCAGUCGGUGCCUAACUCCUCAGAGGGAAAAGCAGCAUUCAGCCACCCAAGAUUGAGCAAUAACAGGUCUGUGGUGCCACUGUGUGUCUGCCCUGUGCUGACAGUUGGAGGUAACCUGUUGAACUCCAUUCAUGAUAGGGAUUGGAGAGUGCAAUUAUUCCUGAUGAAUGAGGAAUUCCCAGUAAGUGCAGGUCAUAAUUGUAUUGAUUAAGUCCCUACCUUUUGUAUAGGCCACAUUUUGCUACUAGCAAUUAGACAAUUUAAUGAGCUCUUUGGAUCAACCCUGCCAGGGUCAGUCACGGCCCUGGUGGAGUGCCAAGAAGAUGGUCAAACUUGACUAUCUAGAAGAAAUAAACGUUGUAAUCAGGUUUCCAUAGGUAAAUCUGCAAAAG